GGCCAGUUAGCUCAGUUGGUUAGAGCAUGGUGUUGAUAACACCAAGGUGCAGGGUUCAAUUCCUGCACUGGCCA
This is a non-coding RNA of Galeopterus variegatus (Sunda flying lemur), 74 nucleotides long. The record is from the annotation of a RefSeq genome assembly. Lineage: Eukaryota; Metazoa; Chordata; Mammalia; Dermoptera; Cynocephalidae.